Molecule: long non-coding RNA, 2027 nt
Organism: Sycon ciliatum
Lineage: Eukaryota; Metazoa; Porifera; Calcarea; Leucosolenida; Sycettidae
Exons: 4
Source: RefSeq, a predicted model, not a curated record
UCCUGAAACGGGUCAUAGCGACUGUCUUGACAUUGUCAUUAUUGAGAUGUGAGCAGAGCAAGACGUUUUGGCUAACUAACGGCUAGCCUGUUUGUUGACGCGGGAGGUUACAUGUACGCGACUUGAGUUGGCAGAGAGGCGGCUACUUGACCUAUCGAUCAUCCCUAUGUCGUGGAGGAAAACUGAGCUGCGACGAGAGACCUCACUCAGCGAUGAUGUCAUCGUUCAAUGGACAGCUUGGUGUUAGUUAUUGUUGGAGAAUGGCAGAGUGAGACGAUACUGGCAACAUUGCUGCAGGGAAUUCAUCCCACAGUGCAUCCCACGGUGCAUACCCCAGUAAGCAGCAGCAGAAAAUGCCCCUACAGCUGCUUGGCAGUGACGCAACGACAUCAUCAAACAGCUCGGCAAGUGACUGCGGUCAUCACAUAUAGACAUCAACAAUGAGUUCUGCGGGUAUAAUCGUCGGUCCAAUCACAAGCCGUGACAUCUCUUCCCAUGGCUUCAGUGAUCAGCAAGAGCAGAUGCACUUCCCACCACACCACCAGUAUGUCGGGCAUACACAGUGACCACCGCAACCAAAGCUUCAGCAGCAGCAGUAGCAGCAGCAGUAGCAGCAGCAGUAUAAGCUGCGACAUCAGCCAUCACCACAUCCUCCCAUACAGUCUUCAAAUCAUGGAAUGGUCACACGGCUCCUCUCUUGAACUCUGUAUCAAGUGUUGUGUGACAUCAGAGCAUCACUCUCCAAUUCCAGCCAGUCUCACCGCUCCACACCAUCACUAAUCAUGAAACCGACGUUGCAAUAACAUCAAGGUGUAAUAAAGUAGCAGCAGCAGCAGCAGCGCCACCACAGCCAGCACACUUUCCAUACCAGCAUGAUACAGUGAUUAAUAAUCAUCAAAAGCCAGGAGCAGCUACAGCACCACUUCCACAACAUUCUGCUGCACUGCCUGAUAGCCAUGCUGCUGUUCCCAUGCCGCAAAAUGGAGGGCAGUCACUGGAUGUGGGAGAGGCCAAUCAUCACCUGCUGCGCUCGAGAGCAGUCAUCACAGUUUCAGUCUAUGGUGUGAUGCGAACACUUGAACCGUUUAGUCUCGGUCCUGCUCAGUAGUGGAGUCGUCUAGUGGCAGCAGGACAUUUAUUCCACUCUCCCAGGAUUUUGAACAGGUCAUUGUUACUGAAGCCAUGAUGCUCUCCGGAGAAUGCAUAGCAAGUUUGCCUCAAGGACCAGCUGCAAAAUAGGACAACGCGGUGUGCUGCCUUCCCAUGAGUUAUAAAGAAUGGAUCGUCAAGGUACGUGGAUUACUGCAACAGUAUGUGAUUGAUUAUCCCAGCUGAGAAGUCAUCCACGGUUGAUCCCACUCAGCAUGGUGAUACGGUAUGAUCUGCUGCUAUGUGUGAGGCUCAUCUGCAGAGCAACAUUGUCCUCCUAUAUCGCUGCCCUGUACUGACAAGACUACUUCAGGUAUGUCAAGUAAGCGGCAAGAACAGCAACGGAAGCAGGAACAGACAUAGGACAGAUGUGGUGUGCUAUAUCCUUAUUGUAAAUAUUCUACAGCAGCAUAUCACUGUAUUGAAUGAUUGCAGGAUGAACAAGCACAGUGGAAUGCAGAAGAAGAUGACAAGUAACUAUGGUAACAUUGAUAGCUGCCUUUGAGACACAUUUACCGAAGUGUCUUGUAUUACAAGCCUGUCUCAUGUAGAAGCCUGUUAUGCAAGCCUGAUUUUUACGAUACUCUGCUAGCACAGAAGCCUGGUUUUAGCGUUGACAAACAUGUACACACAAAUGCCUGAUUUGAAUGGAAGCCUAGCCCUGACAUCGGUUUUCACAGGAAUAGGCCCGUCUUUCACACGUCAACAUUUUGUCAUGAUUUCUGUACUGGGAAGUCCAUAUUUAUUGUAAUUUACUCUCGAUGAGUGUUGCUGAUAACAAUGCAGAUAUGAUUAUUGUAUAAACAACAUCUGCUCAAUAAUUAAAAUGUUGAUGGUGUAAGAUGGAUGUAUGGCAGUAGGCACGGAGUAUUCCCCUU